RNAcentral lists this ribosomal RNA (497 nucleotides) under uncultured Sphingobacteriales bacterium. RNAcentral describes it as "bacterial SSU rRNA". It matches the Rfam family "Bacterial small subunit ribosomal RNA", at positions 903 to 1382 of the family's 1533-position model. The record is from RNAcentral. Lineage: Bacteria; Pseudomonadati; Bacteroidota; Sphingobacteriia; Sphingobacteriales.
UUGCCAGCCCGCUCAGAAACUUAAAGGAAGUUGACGGGGCCCGCACAAGCGGUGGAGCAUGUGGUUUAAUUCGAUGAUACGCGAGGAACCUUACCUGGGCUCAAAUGUAUGUUGACGUAUUCUGAAAGGGAUACUUCUUCGGACAAUAUACAAGGUGCUGCAUGGUUGUCGUCAGCUCGUGCCGUGAGGUGUCGGGUUAAGUCCCAUAACGAGCGCAACCCUAUCAUUAGUUGCCAUCAGGUCAAGCUGGGGACUCUAAUGAAACUGCCUACGCAAGUAGUGAGGAAGGUGGGGAUGACGUCAAAUCAGCACGGCCCUUACGUCCAGGGCUACACACGUGCUACAAUGGCCGGUACAAAGGGCAGCUACUUGGUGACAGGAUGUUAAUCUCAAAAGCCGGUCUCAGUACGGAUUGGAGUCUGAAACUCGACUUCAUGAAGUUGGAAUCGCUAGUAAUCGCGCAUCAGCAUGGCGCGGUGAAUACGUUCCCGGGCCUU